Mastomys coucha (southern multimammate mouse) is the source of this 1268-nucleotide long non-coding RNA. RefSeq lists it as uncharacterized. NCBI's taxonomy places the organism in Eukaryota, Metazoa, Chordata, Mammalia, Rodentia, Muridae. The record is from RefSeq and is a predicted model, not a curated record. The transcript is spliced from 3 exons.
GUCUGGCGGAGCUUCCCCGCAAGUUACUCAAGUAAGCUACGGAGAGAGGAGAAGGGCAGGAUUUCCUACGCAUCUCAACUACACAGAAUCGUACACUGAAGCAGCAGGGUGAUAAGGGCUGGCUUCAGCCAGUUUCCCUACAUAGACCGUGAGAAAAAGGUCCAUACACAUCGGAAGUGAGCAGUCGCGGGACACCAAGCAACGAGGCGCAGGUGCCUAGAGCAGGGAACUUUCUCAGGGCCUCCACGAUUCUCCACGCACCUCAUUAGCGACCACACUCGAGCCACCAUGGUUGGUCUCCCGCUUCACUCGCCGCGCAAGGACACCCAAUUCGCCCGCCGCUUCCGGUCGGUGUCGCUGCUGAGACUCCUGGGAAAUGUAGUGGCCGCUCUCAGCCGCAAUGGACUCCGGGAGCCGCAGUAGCAGCGUUAGACUCUGUAUAACAAGGUCCGUGGCUGCCGCAACUCUUUCUGGGAAAUGUAUUAGGCGGAAGACCAAAGAAGGUCUAGGCCGCGAAGUCUCCUGGGAAAUGUAGUCUGGAAGAACGACGGACAAGAGCCCUCGGAAGACACUGGUAGGAUUUCCCGCGCCCGCGCGGAGAAUUGAGUGUCCUUAAGGUGAAGCAAGCCUAAGUGAUGGUUACCACGGCAACGCGAGGGCUGGAUUGUUCCAGAAAAGCGGGUCUUUAGUUCACGCGAGCGGUUAGGGGUGUGGCUUUAACCUAGGAGGUGUGGAGAGGCUUCAAAUAGUCUGUAGGAUGGACGCCUGCUGAAGUUGUUGACUUCGCAAGGCGCCGAGGGUCCCUGCCCCAUAGGAGUCUUGGGGUCGUGUGAGAACGGUUUGGCAGUGGGUGGUCUGUAGUACAAGAAGCUACACUGGGUGAGGCAGGAGAGGCUAGAGGCCAACACCACAAAGAGGGCGAUGGGGUGAAGAUCAUGUAGAUCCCUGUUCUGUUGCAAGGCUGACAGAGCGUGGAGUGUGGGAAGCUGAGGCAAGAGAGGAGGCUGGAAGUACAGUUAUGUAUUCAGCAGACUGCCUGCAUGUAUGCCAGCAGACAAAAAGGAGAUACCAGAUCCCAUUGUAAAUGGUUAUGAGCUACCAUGUGGUUACUGGGAAUUGAACUCAGGACCUCUGGACAAGCAGACAGUGCUCUUAAUCGCUGAGCCAUCUCUACAGCGCCCAUUCCUCUCAAAAGCACCUUUAUUGUCAGAGAUUAAAUUACUUCAACAGCCAACAAUAGUGAGAGGUGGUAUUCCAACUCUUAAAAA